This 966-nucleotide ribosomal RNA is filed under the name Sulfitobacter sp. HI0040. RNAcentral's name for it is "bacterial LSU rRNA". It matches the Rfam family "Bacterial large subunit ribosomal RNA", at positions 420 to 1336 of the family's 2925-position model. Lineage: Bacteria; Pseudomonadati; Pseudomonadota; Alphaproteobacteria; Rhodobacterales; Roseobacteraceae. The record is from RNAcentral.
GAACACGUGAAAUUCUGUCUGAAGAUCGGAGGACCACCUUCGAAGGCUAAGUACUCCUUACUGACCGAUAGUGAACCAGUACCGUGAGGGAAAGGUGAAAAGCACCCCGACGAGGGGAGUGAAACAGUACCUGAAACCGAACGCCUACAAUCAGUUGGAGGGCCCUUGCGGCCUGACAGCGUACCUUUUGUAUAAUGGGUCAUCGACUUGGUCUCACGAGCAAGCUUAAGCCGUUAGGUGUAGGCGCAGCGAAAGCGAGUCUUAAUAGGGCGUUGAGUUCGUGGGAUCAGACCCGAAACCGAGUGAUCUAGGCAUGACCAGGAUGAAGGUAAGGUAACACUUACUGGAGGUCCGAACCCACACCUGUUGAAAAAGGUCGGGAUGAGUUGUGCCUAGGGGUGAAAGGCCAAUCAAACUCGGAGAUAGCUGGUUCUCUGCGAAAUCUAUUUAGGUAGAGCGUCAUCCGAAUACCCUCGGGGGUAGAGCACUGGAUGGGUAAUGGGGCCCCACAGGCUUACUGAUCCUAACCAAACUCCGAAUACCGAGGAGUACUAGAUGGCAGACACACGGCGAAUGCUAACGUCCGUCGUGAAGAGGGAAACAACCCUGACCUCCAGCUAAGGCCCCUAAUUCAUGGCUAAGUGGGAAAGCAGGUGAGACGACCAAAACAACCAGGAGGUUGGCUUAGAAGCAGCCAUCCUUUAAAGAUAGCGUAACAGCUCACUGGUCUAAAUAAGUUGUCUUGCGGCGAAGAUGUAACGGGGCUCAAGCCAUGAGCCGAAGCUGAGGAUGCACUAGUUGCAUGGUAGCAGAGCGUAGUGUGACAUAAUUCCAUGUCUCCUUAACCCUUCGGGGUAUUGGAGACGCGGAGUUUUCUGUGAAGCCGGCGCGUGAGCGAUCCGGUGGAGAGAUCACUAGUGAGAAUGAUGACAUGAGUAGCGACAAAGAGUGUGAGAGACACUCUCG